UCAUUUCAUGACCUCUUCUCCUCCCCAUCAUCGCGACUCCCAUCUUUGCCCCAAUGCCACAGCCAACGCCAUCACCCGAUUCCGCUGGCACCACUGAUCCACCACUGCCUUGCUCCUCAUGCGCAUCGCUGCCACCUCGACACCACUGCUCGAUCUCAAUUUCCUAGUUGUUGACCGGGUAGGAGCUUCUAUAGCCCAAUCCACCGUCGCCUCUCCCCUUUCGAUCGUGCCAUAGAUUUGGAUCCACCCCAUCGCUCUCUAUCUGAGCCCAACUCAGCCGUCAGUCGCCACUCAUCUGGCCACAAGAAAAUUGGCGACCAUAAACUCUACUGAAUCCUUGCCACCAUAGUAGUCGGCAAUCCCUGAGGCAUUGAGUGUUGUUGGGUCAGAUUCAUAAUUGUUGAAGAGGGAGCCAAGCUACGUGUUGUAGAGGAUUUGAGCUGGAUGUGAUCUCUCGGACUUGAAGAUGGUUGGAAUGAUCUACAGAUAAAGGCAGAUACUUCUUGACUUGUUUCUGUCAGUAGACUCACAAUGUAAAUGAUAUAGGUGUAGAAGAUGUCACCAAGGAGGUGAUAGAGGACGUAGAGGUGGAGUAACUGAGUAGAUGAGAUGGAAUGCAUAACACACUGUCCAAGGAGCUUAAGAGCCUGUUAAUAAAUGUAGUCUUUUGAUUGUGUGAGUUGGAGACUAUUCAUUUUAUGUUUUCAUAUUUUGUCAUUGGGAGUUUAAAAAAAAAAUUCAUUCGAAAGAUAUAUAUUGAGAAUUGAAGUUUGUAUGUGAUGAAAUUGUCUUUGGGUCUAAAGUAAAUGUGGUAUGCUAUAUGUUGGAUGUCUUAGGAAGGGAGUUAUGGGUCA
Molecule: long non-coding RNA, 854 nt
Organism: Zingiber officinale
Lineage: Eukaryota; Viridiplantae; Streptophyta; Magnoliopsida; Zingiberales; Zingiberaceae
Exons: 4
Source: RefSeq, a predicted model, not a curated record